AUUGGACGCUGGGGGCAUGCCUUUCACAUACAAGUUGAACGGCAGCAUGAUUUAGCUUUGUAGAUUGGUGGCGAGUGGCGAACGGGUGAGUUAUACAUUGGAACGUGCCCUGUAGUGGGGGAUAACUAGUUGAAAGAUUAGCUAAUACCGCAUACGGCCUGAGGGGGAAAGUGGGGGACCGCAAGGCCUCCUGCUAUAGGAGCGGCCGAUGUUUGAUUAGCUUGUUGGUGGGGUAAAGGCCCCCCAAGGCGACGAUCAGUAGCUGGUUUGAGAGGACGAUCAGCCCCCCUGGGACUGAGACACGGCCCAGACUCCUACGGGAGGCAGCAGUGGGGAAUUUUGGGCAAUGGGGGCAACCCUGAUCCAGCCAUUCCGCGUGUGUGAAGAAGGCCUUCGGGUUGUAAAGCCCUUUUGUCCGGGAAGAAAUCGCACUUUCUAAUAUUAGGUGUGGAUGCCGGUAAAGGGAGAAUAAGGCCCGGCUUACUUCCUUCCCGCAGCCU
RNAcentral lists this ribosomal RNA (500 nucleotides) under uncultured bacterium. RNAcentral's name for it is "bacterial SSU rRNA". It matches the Rfam family "Bacterial small subunit ribosomal RNA", at positions 30 to 517 of the family's 1533-position model. The record is from RNAcentral.